Long non-coding RNA from Populus euphratica (Euphrates poplar), 198 nucleotides. RefSeq lists it as uncharacterized. The record is from RefSeq and is a predicted model, not a curated record. The transcript is spliced from 3 exons. NCBI's taxonomy places the organism in Eukaryota, Viridiplantae, Streptophyta, Magnoliopsida, Malpighiales, Salicaceae.
GUAAAAUAUUGUAGGGGAAGAUACUUGACCAAUUUUGCACAGAGGAAAUGUAGACUAUGCAACUAAGGAUUAAGCUAUCCUGUAUCACAUACUACUUUGACAUCUAAAGUUAGGCAUCAUCGUGGAGGGUAAAAUAUGGUAGGAAAAUAAGAAUGUAAAGUGAUUAAGAGGUCAUUGUUCAAGUAAGUAACGUUAAAA